Molecule: ribosomal RNA, 500 nt
Filed under: uncultured bacterium
Lineage: Bacteria
Description: partial 16S ribosomal RNA
Rfam family: Bacterial small subunit ribosomal RNA
Source: RNAcentral
AUUGAACGCUGGCGGAAUGCUUUACACAUGCAAGUCGAACGGCAGCACGGACUUCGGUCUGGUGGCGAGUGGCGAACGGGUGAGUAAUGUAUCGGAACGUGCCCAGUCGUGGGGGAUAACGUAGUGAAAAUUACGCUAAUACCGCAUACGAUCUAUGGAUGAAAGCGGGGGACCGUAAGGCCUCGCGCGAUUGGAGCGGCCGAUAUUAGAUUAGGUAGGUGGUGGGGUAAAGGCUCACCAAGCCGACGAUCUGUAGCUGGUCUGAGAGGACGACCAGCCACACUGGAACUGAGCCACGGUCCAGACUCCUACGGGAGGCAGCAGUGGGGAAUUUUGGACAAUGGGCGCAAGCCUGAUCCAGCAAUUCCGCGUGCAGGAUGAAGGCCCUCGGGUUGUAAACUGCUUUUGUACGGAACGAAAAGGUCCUGGUUAAUACCUGGGGCUCAUGACGGUACCGUAAGAAUAAGCACCGGCUAACUACGUGCCAGCCGCCGCCGUAA